GUAGGUGAACCUGCGGUUGGAUCAUUAGAAAAUUUUGGAGCUUCUGCUUCCAAACACACUGUGUGCACUGUUAACUGUCUCUGGCGGACCGGGUUGGUCUUGACGGACCGGCUCCCCCGCCGAAGGACCGAAACUCCCGUUUAUUCGGAUGUUGGUUCGGUCCUGUUUGAACAACACCUUUCUGUAAACUUUGUCUGAACUUUCUUCACCUUGUGUGAGAAAUCUUAAACAACUUUUGGCAACGGAUCUCUUGGCUCUC
RNAcentral lists this unclassified non-coding RNA (259 nucleotides) under rhizosphere metagenome. Its description in RNAcentral is "partial ribosomal RNA internal transcribed spacer region". The record is from RNAcentral.